This 436-nucleotide long non-coding RNA is filed under the name Zostera marina. Its description in RNAcentral is "long non-coding RNA (ZMAR_LNC000205)". Lineage: Eukaryota; Viridiplantae; Streptophyta; Magnoliopsida; Alismatales; Zosteraceae. The record is from RNAcentral.
GUUAGUGUUAGGGUUAAGGUUAGGAUUUAAUAAUUAUAAGUGAAUAAGUUAUAAGGAUUUAUAAUUAUAACUUAAUAAUUAGGUUUAAGACAUUUUUGGAACGACGCCUACCCGAUGAGGUACAUCCGACGGGCACCCCAUCCACCGUCGAUUGGCUAGGCAAAGCUGCACCGUCGGUCCAGUGUGUCAGCUAUUGUUUCCUCGACUCGACGUCGUCAUACCCUGUCAACUAUAUUCCCGUACCGCAACCAUUCCGCCAACUGUAGCAAUGUACGGUCGACUAUAUUUAUUUCGAUUGCCGAUCGUGUUGUUCCAUUGCCACAAUUCCUAUUCGGCGUCCUUAUUUUUUUUAGGUCGGAUUUUUCAUUCUCCGGGUCGCGUCGUCGUCGUCGUCACCGUUUCCUUCUCCUACUCCAAGCAUCAAAUCUUCUCCUCC